RNAcentral lists this ribosomal RNA (505 nucleotides) under uncultured bacterium. Its description in RNAcentral is "partial 16S ribosomal RNA". It matches the Rfam family "Bacterial small subunit ribosomal RNA", at positions 28 to 507 of the family's 1533-position model. The record is from RNAcentral.
GACGAACGCUGGUGGCGUGCCUAAUACAUGCCAGUAGAACGCACAGUUUAUACCGUAGCUUGCUACACCAUAAACUGUGAGUUGCGAACGGGUGAGUAACGCGUAGGUAACCUGCCUGGUAGCGGGGGAUAACUAUUGGAAACGAUAGCUAAUACCGCAUAAUAUUGAUUAUUGCAUGAUAAUUGAUUGAAAGAUGCUAUUGCAUCACUACCAGAUGGACCUGCGUUGUAUUAGCUAGUAGGUGAGGUAACGGCUCACCUAGGCGACGAUACAUAGCCGACCUGAGAGGGUGAUCGGCCACACUGGGACUGAGACACGGCCCAGACUCCUACGGGAGGCAGCAGUAGGGAAUCUUCGGCAAUGGACGAAAGUCUGACCGAGCAACGCCGCGUGAGUGAAGAAGGUUUUCGGAUCGUAAAGCUCUGUUGUAAGAGAAGAACGGGUGUGAGAGUGGAAAGUUCACACUGUGACGGUAUCUUACCAGAAAGGGACGGCUAACUACGUG